RNAcentral lists this ribosomal RNA (1326 nucleotides) under uncultured bacterium. Its description in RNAcentral is "partial 16S ribosomal RNA". It matches the Rfam family "Bacterial small subunit ribosomal RNA", at positions 27 to 1392 of the family's 1533-position model. The record is from RNAcentral.
GGAUGAAUGCUGGCGGCGUGCCUUAAGCAUGCAAGUCGAACGAGCUAGUUUACUAGCUAGUGGCGGACGGGUGAGUAAUAUAUAGGAAUCUACCCCUUGAUGGGGAAUAUCCCAGAGAAAUUUGGGUUAAUACCGCAUAAUCUCUACGGAGCAAAGGUCGUAACUGGCCGUCGAGGGAGGAGCCUAUAUCCUAUCAGCUUGUUGGUAAGGUAAAAGCUUACCAAGGCGAUGACGGGUAGGGGGUGUGAGAGCAUGACCCCCCACAAGGUCACUGAUACACGGGGCCUACACCUACGGGUGGCAGCAACUGGGAAUAUUGCGCAAUGGGCGAAAGCCUGACGCAGCGACGCCGCGUGCGGGACGAAGGCCUUCGGGUCGUAAACCGCUGUGGAGGGGGAAGAUAAUGACGGUACCCCUCUAGAAAGCACCUGCUAACUACGUGCCAGAAGCCUCGGUGAUACGUAGGGUGCAAGCAUUAUCCGGAUUUAUUGGGCGUAAAGAGUAUCGUAGGCGGUAUAGUAAGUGAUUAGUGAAAUCCUUUGGCUCACCAAAGAACUGCUAGUCAUACUGCUAAACUUGAGUAAUUUCGGGAAGGCUGGAAUUUUCGGUGUAGGGGUGAAAUCCGUUGAUAUCGAAAAGAACACCAAGGGGCGAAGGCAGGCCUUUAGGAAUUUACUGACGCUGAUGAACGAAAGCUUGGGGAGCAAAGCGGAUUAGAGACCCGCGUAGUCCAAGCCGUAAACGAUGUCCACUAGAUGGUCUGAUGUAUUUUGGACUGUCGUAAGCUAACGCGUUAAGUGGACCGCCUGGGGAGUACGGCCGCAAGGCUAAAACUCAAAGGAAUUGACGGGGAAAUGCACAACCAGGGGAGCAUGUGGUUUAAUUCGAUACAAAGCGAAGAACCUUACCUGGUCUUGACAUACACGGAACUUUCCAGAGAUGGAUUGGUGCCUUCGGGAACCGUGAUACAGGUGCUGCAUGGCUGUCGUCAGCUCGUGUCGUGAGAUGUUGGGUUAAGUCCCGUAACGAGCGCAACCCUUAUCCUUAUUUGCCAGCACAUCAUGGUGGGAACUAUAAGGAGACUGCCGGUGAUAAACCGGAGGAAGGCGGGGACGACGUCAAGUCAUCAUGGCCCUUACGACCAGGGCUACACACGUGCUACAAUGGGAAGGACAAAGGGUUGCUAAGCCGCGAGGUGGUGCUAAUCUCAUAAACCUUUUCGUAGUCCGGAUCGGAGUCUGCAACUCGACUCCGUGAAGUCGGAAUCGCUAGUAAUCGUGGAUCAGAACGCCACGGUGAAUACGUUCCCGGGUCUUGCACUCACCG